AUGCCAGACGAUCGCAGGCGCUUGUCGCUUGAGGAAAGUCCGAGCACCACAGGGCAGGAUGCCGGUUAACUGCCGGCGGAGGCGACUUCAGGGAGAGUGCAACAGAGAUAUACCGCGCGCCGUUAAAGCGCGUAAGGGUGGAAAGGCGAGGUAAGAGCUCACCGACGACUUGGCAACUUGUUCGUCCUGUAAACCCCAUCCGGUGCAAGAUUGAUAGGGAGACGUUUGCGGCGGCCCGUCGUGUCUCCGGGUAAUCGCUAGAGCCUGCUGGCAACCGCAGGCCCAGAUAGAUGAUCGUCCAAUACAGAACUCGGCUUACAGACA
This 324-nucleotide RNase P RNA is filed under the name human gut metagenome. RNAcentral's name for it is "Bacterial RNase P class A". It matches the Rfam family "Bacterial RNase P class A". From Rfam's summary of the family: Ribonuclease P (RNase P) is a ubiquitous endoribonuclease, found in archaea, bacteria and eukarya as well as chloroplasts and mitochondria. Its best characterised activity is the generation of mature 5'-ends of tRNAs by cleaving the 5'-leader elements of precursor-tRNAs. The record is from RNAcentral.